GCACAGAGCUUCACAGUCGGACUUUCGUUCGAAUCGAUUCAAAUUGCCUCCACAUCCACGGAAGAAGAAGAGCUUACAACGGUUGUCACGUGGGGAGUAGAAGUAUUGAAGGUUCGUGCGUGUUGGUGUUUCGGAAUCGUUACAGACGCGUCCUGAAAUAUACAUUUUUGAGAUGCUCGAAGUUCAUCUCUAAGUUGAAAUUCAAAGUAGCCCGCAGGGCUCUGAGGCAACCGAGAUUUUUGGUAACCUGCAAGUGUUGCAGUUGCCGAACCAACAAAAAUUUCGGAACGCUCAGAACAACCGGCAACUUCCGGUUUCUGAAACUUUGGCAAUUUUUCGGCAACCGGCAACCAAGAAGUUUUGACGUUGGUAAAACAAAUUUCGACAAUAUUCCGAAAAUACGUCUUUUUUUUUCUUGAUUUUACGUUUGCAAGAGGUCAAUGUAACCCCGUUUUUGAAUUUUUAUUCAUUUCUCGAGUUCUUUGUCUCGCUUGUUAAAUUCAAAUAGUAAGUUCAAUAUAUAAAUCUAACUUUGUGUGUUUUCAUUGAACAGUUUUAAUUCUCAUUCACACUCACCUUCCGAUGGCUUAAUCUGACAAACACUCUUGUCCUGAACCAUCAUUUUUUCAGUGGUCGUCGUCACAUCCUCCUCUUCAACUUCCUUCUUCUCAUCAGCACCCAAAUCAAUGGACACUCCUCCCUCUGCACUCAAAUCUGCUGCGAUUGGAGAACUCUUGGCAAGCUCCUCAACCUGAUUUACAGGCUUGUUUGGCUUCAUUUGAAGGUGAGCCACAAAGUCUUCUCCAUCCUCCUCCUCAUCAUCUUCUGAUUCUUCAACGUCAAUGUUCUCAACCUUAGCCUCUGUGGUUGUUUCUGUGUUGGAGGCUAGUCGUGGUGCAAAGAUCUCCUCAGAGGCGAUUCUUUGAGCAUCUCCAUACAGUGGGCAACACAAUCUAGAAUUUCUUGCAGAAUCAAUUGCGCAAUAGUAUCCCUUGGGGCACAUCUUGACUCCAUCGAAUCCUGAUCCACAAAGCAUUGGUUCUCCGUUCUCCAACAUCAAUGGAUCGGCGGCGUCUGGGCACAUGUACUUUGGAGUUGACAGGAAGAUUUGGCGAUUGAAGCCACGUGGCAUGUGAGAUUCGUUUUUGACAACUCCACGAGACACAUCCUUGACAAUCUCUUCUGGUUGCACUGAAAGAAGAGAUACGUUUUAAAGG
This 1217-nucleotide small RNA is filed under the name Caenorhabditis elegans. RNAcentral's name for it is "Unclassified non-coding RNA W01F3.6". Lineage: Eukaryota; Metazoa; Nematoda; Chromadorea; Rhabditida; Rhabditidae. The record is from RNAcentral.